GGAUCAUUGUCGAAAUCGAACGGAAGAACGACCCGCGAAUCGUCAUUGCGUAGUAGACAGAGCCCGUGAGCACCUAACGCUCACGGGUCUCGCGUCGCGUCGGCGCGGUGUACUCGAGACCCGCGUCGUACCGGCGGACAAACAACGUCAGCACGGAUCGUGCCAAGGAGCUGCAUGGAGAGAAUCGUCGUCCCCCGCCUUUGAUAGUCGUCCUCGACGCGGGACGGGGGAUGUACGCAAUCUCUACUCAAAAGUCUAAACGACUCUCGGCAACGGAUAUCUCGGCUCUUGCAUCGAUGAAGAACGUAGCGAAAUGCGAUACUUGGUGUGAAUUGCAGAAUCCCGUGAACCAUCAAUUCUUUGAACGCAAGUUGCGCCCGAAGCCAUUCGGCCGAGGGCACGCCUGCCUGGGCGUCGUGAAUCCCCUUGCCCCUAGGCACCCGCACGAGCAUCGGCGGGGACAUAUCCUCGGGCGCAGAAUAUGGUCUCCCGUGGGAUCGGCAUGCACGGCAUGACGAGGUGCGGUUGGCCGAAAAUCGAGCAUGGCGGUGACGGGCACCACGGCGUUCGGUGGAUCGAAUGAGAUUGGCUGCGUCGUGGGCUCGGCAUGCGGCGGGCUCCGGACUUUGAAUAUCCCCGAGUGCGAUCCCAGGUCAGGCGGGGCUACCCGCUGAGUUUAAGCAUAUCAAUAAGCGGAGGAAAAGAAACUAACGAGGAUUCCCUUAGUAGCGGC
RNAcentral lists this ribosomal RNA (733 nucleotides) under Miconia oerstediana. RNAcentral's name for it is "eukaryotic LSU rRNA". The stretch from base 262 to 417 matches the Rfam family "5.8S ribosomal RNA". The record is from RNAcentral. Lineage: Eukaryota; Viridiplantae; Streptophyta; Magnoliopsida; Myrtales; Melastomataceae.